This 538-nucleotide ribosomal RNA is filed under the name Trichoderma harzianum. RNAcentral's name for it is "eukaryotic LSU rRNA". The stretch from base 160 to 313 matches the Rfam family "5.8S ribosomal RNA". Lineage: Eukaryota; Fungi; Ascomycota; Sordariomycetes; Hypocreales; Hypocreaceae. The record is from RNAcentral.
CUGUUGCCUCGGCGGGAUCUCUGCCCCGGGUGCGUCGCAGCCCCGGACCAAGGCGCCCGCCGGAGGACCAACCUAAAACUCUUAUUGUAUACCCCUCGCGGGUUUUUUAUAAUCUGAGCCUUCUCGGCGCCUCUCGUAGGCGUUUCGAAAAUGAAUCAAAACUUUCAACAACGGAUCUCUUGGUUCUGGCAUCGAUGAAGAACGCAGCGAAAUGCGAUAAGUAAUGUGAAUUGCAGAAUUCAGUGAAUCAUCGAAUCUUUGAACGCACAUUGCGCCCGCCAGUAUUCUGGCGGGCAUGCCUGUCCGAGCGUCAUUUCAACCCUCGAACCCCUCCGGGGGGUCGGCGUUGGGGAUCGGCCUCCUCUCACGGGGGCCGUCUCCGAAAUACAGUGGCGGUCUCGCCGCAGCCUCUCCUGCGCAGUAGUUUGCACACUCGCAUCGGGAGCGCGGCGCGUCCACAGCCGUUAAACACCCCAAACUUCUGAAAUGUUGACCUCGGAUCAGGUAGGAAUACCCGCUGAACUUAAGCAUAUCAAUA